GACGAACGCUGGCGGCGUGCUUAACACAUGCAAGUCGAACGGAAAGGCCCUGCGUUUUUGGGGUGCUCGAGUGGCGAACGCGUGCGUAACACGUGAGUAACCGGCCCUUGACUUUGGGAUAACUUCAGGUAACUAGGGCUAAUACCGGAUAGGAUCUCCUGCUGCGUGGUGGGCGGUGGAAAUUUUCGGCGGGUGGGGAUGGACGCGCGGCUUAUCAGCUUGUUGGUGGGGUAGUGGCUUACCAAGGCUGUGACGGGUAGCCGGCCUGAGAGGGUGACCGGCCACAUUGGGACUGAGAUACGGCCCAGACUCGUACGGGAGGCAGCAGUGGGGAAUAUUGCACAAUGGGCGGAAGCCUGAUGCAGCAACGCCGCGUUCGGGAUGACGGCCUUCGGGUUGUAAACCGCUUUCGCCUGUGACGAAGCGUGAGUGACGGUAAUGGGUAAAGAAGCACCGGCUAACUACGUG
This 468-nucleotide ribosomal RNA is filed under the name uncultured bacterium. Its description in RNAcentral is "partial 16S ribosomal RNA". It matches the Rfam family "Bacterial small subunit ribosomal RNA", at positions 28 to 507 of the family's 1533-position model. The record is from RNAcentral.